UGUGCAGGCGGCUGGUCAAGUGGUGUAUGAAAGGGCCGGGCUUAACCCGGUCAGGGUAUGCCAGACUGGUCAGCUGGGGUGCGGGAGAGGGACGUGGAAUUCCGGGUGUAGUGGUGAAAUGCGUAGAGAUCCGGAGGAACCCCAGAGGCGAAGGCGGCGUCCUGGCCCGACACCGACGCUCAGACACGACAGCAUGGGGAGCGAACG
RNAcentral lists this ribosomal RNA (207 nucleotides) under uncultured bacterium. RNAcentral describes it as "partial 16S ribosomal RNA". It matches the Rfam family "Bacterial small subunit ribosomal RNA", at positions 568 to 774 of the family's 1533-position model. The record is from RNAcentral.